RNAcentral lists this ribosomal RNA (460 nucleotides) under uncultured bacterium. Its description in RNAcentral is "partial 16S ribosomal RNA". It matches the Rfam family "Bacterial small subunit ribosomal RNA", at positions 338 to 795 of the family's 1533-position model. The record is from RNAcentral.
CCUACGGGAGGCAGCAGUGAGGAAUAUUGGUCAAUGGACGAGAGUCUGAACCAGCCAAGUAGCGUGAAUGAUGACUGCCCUAUGGGUUGUAAACUUCUUUUAUAUGGGAAUAAAAUGUUCCACGUGUGUGAUUUGGUAUGUCCCAUAUGAAUACGGAUCGGCUAAUUACGUGCCAGCAGCAGCGGUAAUACGGAGGAUCCGAGCGUUAUCCGGAUUUAUUGGGUGUAAAGGGAGCGUAGUGGGAUUUUUAAGUCGGGUGUGAAAGUUUGCGGCUCAACCGUGCAACUUCAGUUGAAACUGGCAGGCUUGAGUACAGUAGAGGUGGGCGGAAUUCGUGGUGUAGCGGUGAAAUGCGUAGAUAUCACGAAGAACUCCGAUGGCGAAGGCAGCUCACUGGACUGCAACUGACGCUGAGGCUCGAAAGUGUGGGUAUCAAACAGGAUUAGAUACCCUAGUAGUC